AGAACGAACGCUGGCGGCAUGCCUAAUACAUGCAAGUCGAACGAAGGCUUCGGCCUUAGUGGCGCACGGGUGCGUAACGCGUGGGAAUCUGCCCCUUGGUUCGGAAUAACAGUUGGAAACGACUGCUAAUACCGGAUGAUGACGAAAGUCCAAAGAUUUAUCGCCAAGGGAUGAGCCCGCGUAGGAUUAGCUAGUUGGUGAGGUAAAGGCUCACCAAGGCGACGAUCCUUAGCUGGUCUGAGAGGAUGAUCAGCCACACUGGGACUGAGACACGGCCCAGACUCCUACGGGAGGCGGCAGUAGGGAAUAUUGGACAAUGGGCGAAAGCCUGAUCCAGCAAUGCCGCGUGAGUGACGAAGGCCUUAGGUUGUAAAGCUCUUUUACCCGAGAUGAUAAUGACAGUAUCGGAGAAUAAGCCCCGGCUAACUCCGUGCCAGCAGCCGC
This 444-nucleotide ribosomal RNA is filed under the name uncultured soil bacterium. Its description in RNAcentral is "bacterial SSU rRNA". It matches the Rfam family "Bacterial small subunit ribosomal RNA", at positions 26 to 518 of the family's 1533-position model. The record is from RNAcentral.